This 2936-nucleotide ribosomal RNA is filed under the name Priestia megaterium. RNAcentral describes it as "23S ribosomal RNA". It matches the Rfam family "Bacterial large subunit ribosomal RNA". Lineage: Bacteria; Bacillati; Bacillota; Bacilli; Caryophanales; Bacillaceae. The record is from RNAcentral.
GGUUAAGUUAGAAAGGGCGCACGGUGAAUGCCUUGGCACUAGGAGCCGAUGAAGGACGGGACUAACACCGAUAUGCUUCGGGGAGCUGUAAGUGAGCUUUGAUCCGGAGAUUUCCGAAUGGGGAAACCCACUGUUCGUAAUGGAACAGUAUCUUUAUCUGAAUACAUAGGAUAUUGAAGGCAGACCCGGGGAACUGAAACAUCUAAGUACCCGGAGGAAGAGAAAGCAAAUGCGAUUUCCUGAGUAGCGGCGAGCGAAACGGAAUUAGCCCAAACCAAGAGGCUUGCCUCUUGGGGUUGUAGGACACUCUAUACGGAGUUACAAAGGAACGAAGUAAAUGAAGCGACCUGGAAAGGUCCGUCGAAGAAGGUAACAACCCUGUAGUUGAAACUUCGUUCCCUCUUGAGUGGAUCCUGAGUACGGCGGAACACGUGAAAUUCCGUCGGAAGCUGGGAGGACCAUCUCCCAAGGCUAAAUACUACCUAGUGACCGAUAGUGAACCAGUACCGUGAGGGAAAGGUGAAAAGCACCCCGGAAGGGGAGUGAAAGAGAUCCUGAAACCGUGUGCCUACAAGUAGUCAGAGCCCGUUAACGGGUGAUGGCGUGCCUUUUGUAGAAUGAACCGGCGAGUUACGAUCCCAUGCAAGGUUAAGCUGAUAAGGCGGAGCCGUAGCGAAAGCGAGUCUGAACAGGGCGUUUAGUAUGUGGUUGUAGACCCGAAACCAGGUGAUCUACCCAUGUCCAGGGUGAAGUUCAGGUAACACUGAAUGGAGGCCCGAACCCACGCACGUUGAAAAGUGCGGGGAUGAGGUGUGGGUAGCGGAGAAAUUCCAAUCGAACCUGGAGAUAGCUGGUUCUCUCCGAAAUAGCUUUAGGGCUAGCCUCAUGUUGUGAGAGUCUUGGAGGUAGAGCACUGAUUGGACUAGGGGCCCCCAACGGGUUACCGAAUUCAGUCAAACUCCGAAUGCCAAAGACUUAUCCAUGGGAGUCAGACUGCGAGUGAUAAGAUCCGUAGUCAAAAGGGAAACAGCCCAGACCACCAGCUAAGGUCCCCAAGUAUACGUUAAGUGGAAAAGGAUGUGGAGUUGCUUAGACAACCAGGAUGUUGGCUUAGAAGCAGCCACCAUUUAAAGAGUGCGUAAUAGCUCACUGGUCGAGUGACUCUGCGCCGAAAAUGUACCGGGGCUAAACGUAUCACCGAAGCUGUGGAUUGACAUCUUUGAUGUCAGUGGUAGGAGAGCGUUCUAAGUGCAGCGAAGUCAGACCGUAAGGACUGGUGGAGCGCUUAGAAGUGAGAAUGCCGGUAUGAGUAGCGAAAGACAAGUGAGAAUCUUGUCCACCGAAUGCCUAAGGUUUCCUGAGGAAGGCUCGUCCGCUCAGGGUUAGUCGGGACCUAAGCCGAGGCUGAAAAGCGUAGGCGAUGGCCAACAGGUUGAUAUUCCUGUACCACCUCCCCGCCGUUUGAGUAAUGGGGGGACGCAGUAGGAUAGGGUAAGCGCGCUGCUGGAUAUGCGCGUUCAAGCAGUUAGGCUGAUGAGUAGGCAAAUCCGCUCAUCAUAAAGGCUGAGCUGUGAUGACGAGGGAAUUAUAGUACCGAAGUUCCUGAUUCCACACUGCCAAGAAAAGCCUCUAGCGAGGCGGGAGGUGCCCGUACCGCAAACCGACACAGGUAGGCGAGGAGAGAAUCCUAAGGUGAUCGAGAGAACUCUCGUUAAGGAACUCGGCAAAAUGACCCCGUAACUUCGGGAGAAGGGGUGCUCUGGUAGGGUGUAUAGCCCGAGAGAGCCGCAGUGAAUAGGCCCAGGCGACUGUUUAGCAAAAACACAGGUCUCUGCGAAGCCGCAAGGCGAAGUAUAGGGGCUGACGCCUGCCCGGUGCUGGAAGGUUAAGAGGAGGGGUUAUCCUUCGGGAGAAGCUCUGAAUCGAAGCCCCAGUAAACGGCGGCCGUAACUAUAACGGUCCUAAGGUAGCGAAAUUCCUUGUCGGGUAAGUUCCGACCCGCACGAAAGGCGUAACGAUCUGGGCACUGUCUCAACGAGAGACUCGGUGAAAUUAUAGUACCUGUGAAGAUGCAGGUUACCCGCGACAGGACGGAAAGACCCCGUGGAGCUUUACUGUAGCCUGAUAUUGAAUUUUGGUACAGCUUGUACAGGAUAGGUAGGAGCCUGAGAAGCCGGAGCGCUAGCUUCGGUGGAGGCGUCGGUGGGAUACUACCCUGGCUGUAUUGAAAUUCUAACCCGCGGCCCUGAUCGGGCCGGGAGACAGUGUCAGGUGGGCAGUUUGACUGGGGCGGUCGCCUCCUAAAAUGUAACGGAGGCGCCCAAAGGUUCCCUCAGAAUGGUUGGAAAUCAUUCGUAGAGUGUAAAGGCACAAGGGAGCUUGACUGCGAGACCUACAAGUCGAGCAGGGACGAAAGUCGGGCUUAGUGAUCCGGUGGUUCCGCAUGGAAGGGCCAUCGCUCAACGGAUAAAAGCUACCCCGGGGAUAACAGGCUUAUCUCCCCCAAGAGUCCACAUCGACGGGGAGGUUUGGCACCUCGAUGUCGGCUCAUCGCAUCCUGGGGCUGUAGUCGGUCCCAAGGGUUGGGCUGUUCGCCCAUUAAAGCGGUACGCGAGCUGGGUUCAGAACGUCGUGAGACAGUUCGGUCCCUAUCCGUCGUGGGCGUAGGAAAUUUGAGAGGAGCUGUCCUUAGUACGAGAGGACCGGGAUGGACACACCGCUGGUGUACCAGUUGUCUUGCCAAAGGCAUCGCUGGGUAGCUAUGUGUGGACGGGAUAAGUGCUGAAAGCAUCUAAGCAUGAAGCCCCCCUCAAGAUGAGAUUUCCCAUAGCGCAAGCUAGUAAGAUCCCUGAAAGAUGAUCAGGUUGAUAGGUCAGAGGUGGAAGCGUGGCGACAUGUGUAGCUGACUGAUACUAAUCGAUCGAGGACUUAACCAA